This 251-nucleotide long non-coding RNA is filed under the name Homo sapiens (human). RNAcentral describes it as "long non-coding RNA NONHSAT056553.2". The record is from RNAcentral. Lineage: Eukaryota; Metazoa; Chordata; Mammalia; Primates; Hominidae.
GAUGCUGCCGGCGGCCGCUCGCCCCCUGUGGGGGCCUUGCCUUGGGCUUCGGGCCGCUGCGUUCCGCCUUGCCAGCGACAGGUGCCAUGUGUCUGUGCCGUGCGACAUAUGAGGAGCAGCGGCCAUCAGAGGUGUGAGGCCCUCGCUGGUGCACCCCUGGAUAACGCCCCCAAGGAGUACCCCCCCAAGAUACAGCAGCUGGUCCAGGACAUCGCCAGCCUCACUCUCUUGGAAAUCUCAGACCUCAACGA